RNAcentral lists this ribosomal RNA (466 nucleotides) under uncultured Alphaproteobacteria bacterium. RNAcentral describes it as "bacterial SSU rRNA". It matches the Rfam family "Bacterial small subunit ribosomal RNA", at positions 9 to 524 of the family's 1533-position model. The record is from RNAcentral. Lineage: Bacteria; Pseudomonadati; Pseudomonadota; Alphaproteobacteria.
GAGUUUGAUCAUGGCUCAGAACGAACGCUGGCGGCAGGCUUAACACAUGCAAGUCGAACGCCCCGCAAGGGGAGUGGCAGACGGGUGAGUAACGCGUGGGAACGUGCCCUUCGCUUCGGAAUAGCCCCGGGAAACUGGGAGUAAUACCGAAUACGCCGUAUUGGGAGAGAUUUAUCGGCGAAGGAUCGGCCCGCGUUAGAUUAGCUAGUUGGCGGUGUAAUGGACCACCAAGGCUACGAUCUAUAGCUGGUCUGAGAGGAUGAUCAGCCACACUGGGACUGAGACACGGCCCAGACUCCUACGGGAGGCAGCAGUGGGGAACCUUGGACAAUGGGCGCAAGCCUGAUCCAGCCAUGCCGCGUGAGUGAAGAAGGCCUUAGGGUUGUAAAACUCUUUCGCCGGAGAAGAUAAUAACGGUAUCCGGAGAAGAAGCCCCGGCUAACUUCGUGGCAGCCGCCGCAGUAAC